GACGAACGCUGGCGGCGUGCUUAACACAUGCAAGUCGAGCGGAAAGGCCCUUUCGGGGGUACUCGAGCGGCGAACGGGUGAGUAACACGUGAGUAAUCUGCCCUUGGCUUUGGGAUAACCACCGGAAACGGUGGCUAAUACCGGAUAUGACGGGCUCCGGCAUCGGGGUUCGUGGAAAGUUUUUUCGGCCAGGGAUGUGCUCGCGGCCUAUCAGCUUGUUGGUGGGGUAAUGGCCUACCAAGGCUUCGACGGGUAGCCGGCCUGAGAGGGUGACCGGCCACACUGGGACUGAGACACGGCCCAGACUCCUACGGGAGGCAGCAGUGGGGAAUAUUGGACAAUGGGCGGAAGCCUGAUCCAGCAACGCCGCGUGA
This 374-nucleotide ribosomal RNA is filed under the name uncultured bacterium. RNAcentral describes it as "bacterial SSU rRNA". It matches the Rfam family "Bacterial small subunit ribosomal RNA", at positions 28 to 404 of the family's 1533-position model. The record is from RNAcentral.